Molecule: long non-coding RNA, 1161 nt
Organism: Cebus imitator (Panamanian white-faced capuchin)
Lineage: Eukaryota; Metazoa; Chordata; Mammalia; Primates; Cebidae
Exons: 3
Source: RefSeq, a predicted model, not a curated record
AUGAGAAAACAGAAGUUCCAAGAAGCUGAAGAAGCACAUGUGAGCAUGCACAAUUUGAACACAGCAAAGCUGGGAUUUGAACCUGGGUCUCACUCUCACCAUAGACUCACACUCCUUCCCUUGCACUAUUUGCCUCUAAAAGGCAGAUCCUUCCAUAGCAUGUCCAGAUGAACAUCAAAGAGGGCCCAAAUUCUAUUCUUUCUAUAGGACUUCAUCUGAGAAAUGAGGAGAAUAACAGCAAUUACAUCAAAAUGUCCCAAUGAGGAUUAAAGGAACCAAGGUGUGUCCAGUGUCCAGGAAUGAUGGAAGACUCCACAAAUGUUAGGUCUCGCAGAUGCCUGGAAGGUCAGAGUUGCUGGAGAACAUAGAGGGUCCAACCCUGGCUGUAGCUAUGCCUCACUUCUUGAACUUCAGCUGAGUAACUCAGUUACUCCUCAGCUGAUUUUUAUAAAUACGACUCCAAGGUCCUUGUUUGGACCUUGAAGCAGAAUCUCCAGGGAAUGGAGCCACGAAUUUGCAUUUUAACAAUUUCACCAGGUGAGUGCAAUGAUGAUCUUAUAAUCUGGUACUUCAUUGGUCUAAUGAAAUGUCUUGGACACUCUGAAGUGAAAGAUUUACCCAAACUGACACUCUGUGCCAGGGUCAGUCUUGCCACACUGCACAGCCCCAGUGGAUGCCGGUCGCACUGUAUCCUACACAAAGAUUGGUGGACCCUGGGUGUGCAACAAGUGGGCCCUGUUAGGAGGCAUUACCAGAGGGCACAUCUGUACCUUUGACCUUGUGGUCCAGAGCCAUUCCUGCUCCAUCUGAAAUGUCUCUGUGUCCCACUGGAUCUGCCUCCACUAUGGGGAUGCCAAUCACUGCAUUUAACCCUCCACUCACAAGAUUUUUUUGCUUGUCUCAUUGAACCUUUGGGAUAGGGUUUCUCAACAGUGGCACUGUGACAUUUGAGCUAUACAAUUCUUUGUGGUGGGGACUGUCCUGUGUACUGGAAAAAGUUUGGCAGCAUCCCUGGCCUCUACCCAUGAGAUGUCAGUAGCCCCUCCCUAGUCAUGACAAUCAAAAUCAUCCUCCAGAUGAUGACAAACAUCCUCUGGAAGCAAAAGUGCCCUCAGUUGAGAAAUGCUAUUUUAGGUUGAAGGCAGGGCUUCAAGUUUUAUU